CACGGGGGUUGCGAGCGUUGUCCGGAAUUACUAGGCGUAAAGGGCAGGCAGGCGGAUCCAUAAGUUUAUCGUUUAAGGCGUCGGCUUAACCGGCGUAGGGCGGUAGAUACUGUGGAUCUGGAAUGCGGUUGGGGAAGACAGAAUUCCUGGUGUAGCGGUGGAAUGCGCAGAGCUCAGGAGGAAUACCGAAGGCGAAGGCAGUCUUCCAAGCCGUUAUUGACGCUCAACUGCGAAGGUGUGGGUAUCAAACAGGAUUAGAUACCCGGGUAGUCCCUGAGCGGG
RNAcentral lists this ribosomal RNA (282 nucleotides) under uncultured prokaryote. RNAcentral's name for it is "partial 16S ribosomal RNA". It matches the Rfam family "Bacterial small subunit ribosomal RNA", at positions 524 to 803 of the family's 1533-position model. The record is from RNAcentral.